Molecule: long non-coding RNA, 910 nt
Filed under: Helianthus annuus (common sunflower)
Lineage: Eukaryota; Viridiplantae; Streptophyta; Magnoliopsida; Asterales; Asteraceae
Description: hypothetical non coding rna
Source: RNAcentral
GUUCAUUCUUCUUCAUCUUCAUCAUCAUCAUCAGUUCAUUCAUUCUAGGUGUUCUAGAUCCACAAAUCACCUACAAACAAUUACUCUCAUAAUUCAUUCAACAUCAAAUUUACACAAAUCAUCAAACCCUAAGUGCCCUAACAACAACAAAUCCAGAUCCACAACACAAAUCACAAAAUCAACGAAACAAGUUCAUCAUCAUCAUCAUCAUCAGGUUCAUCAUCAUCAUCAUCAUCAUCAUCAUCAUCAUCAUCAGUUCAUCACCACCACCACCUCCUUCUCCUCUUCUGACCACCGCCACCAUCAUCCCACCACUGUUCAUUCUUCAUAUUCAAAACAUCCCCAUACAAAACAAACCCAGAUCUAAUAACCCAAACAUCUUCAUACAAAACAAACCCAGAUCUAAUAACCCAAACAUCUGCACAUGAACAUGAACACAGAUUCAUAAUCAAUCUUCAUACAAAACAAAUCCCCUUUGACUUGUUCAUAAUCAAUCUUCAAAAAACCCAGAUUCAUAAACCCAAACCGACUUAAUAACCCAAACAUCUGCACAUGAACAUAACAGAUUCAUACAAAACAAACCCAGAUUCAAAAAGCAUCUUCAUAAUAACCCAUAUGCACAUGAACAUAACAGAUUCAAAAACAUCUUCAUACAAAACAAACCCAUAUACAUAAACCCAGACAUGCCAAGUUCAUCUGUAGAUUCAACCCAGAUUCAACUGAUGAAGUGGCGGAGACGGUGGUGGUGGUGGUGAGGAGAAGUGGCGGCAGAGACGGUGGUGGUGAGGAGAAGUGGCAGAGACGGGGGAUGGACUGGUUCAAUCGCAGAGGGGUUUCAAUCUUUGUUUGGGGAAAUUGUCAAGAAAUGGUUUGGAUUGUUGUGGAUUGUGGUGAGGGUGGUGGUGGCUGA